This is a long non-coding RNA of Strigops habroptila (Kakapo), 1732 nucleotides long. Lineage: Eukaryota; Metazoa; Chordata; Aves; Psittaciformes; Psittacidae. The record is from Ensembl.
UAUCAUUCACAGAAAUUUCAUUUUACAAUCAAGAUAUGAUUUAGACUAGACAAAAGCAAAGAGUUGAUAGCACAGACAUUCCCAUCUUAAUCUAUACAUACAUAACAUUAACACCGUUGUGCUGUUUUUUUUCUUUUAAUAUGAUCUGCUUAGAAGGCAUAUUAUUCCUUAAACAAACUAACACAAGUUCUCAAGUUACUUCAGGAUAGUUAUUUCAAAAGACAAUGCAAUAUUUCAUAAUAAACAUUUAUAAUUAGGUUUUUAACAAAGUAAUUCAUCAUAUAAACAAAUGAAUCAGUCAGACACUAAAUAAAUAUUUGUACUGGUAAAUACUAGCAUUUUGCUUAUAUCAUGUAGGACCUGAUCCUGCAAGCCCUCUGCAUACAUCUUUAUCCCCACUGAAUGACUGAUGUAAUUUCUUCUUCUAAUCUACUAUUUUACUUUGAGCUGAGCAAAUACUUUCUAGCCACUAAGUUAGGUAAUUGAAAUAAGCACUGGAAUACAUCCCAGCAGACAAUGAUUUCCUUAGAUGUCUUUGUAUAUAAUAUUUUUUUUUAUGUUUAUGAAAUCAUCACAAACAUUUAUCAACAGGCAUUCAGGUUUUGGUAUUUACAAUCUGAUUUGCAUCAGUUAGUCAAGAUUGAUCAAAUGAAUUGUAUGUUCCUCGUUCUUGGCUCUCUGACUGAACAAAGCCUGACCUUUGCACUCAAUUUAAAGAGCAGUUUCCUAUAAUUAUUUCAUAGCUAAUACCAAACUUUACUUUCUCCAGAUAUUUGAGCUAACAAUACUGGGUUAGGAAUGCAAGAGCCUCUGGGACAAUAACAAGCUGAGCUUCUCCUUGGGGAGGGCAGACAAGCAUGAAUUACCUUUUAUCUGUUCUCAUCUACAACAAUUACUGUCUUCUCCAAGGCAAUGGGGAUGGCUUUUUUAAAGAAUACAAAAAGCUGUGCCCAGACUCUUAAUUCUGAGUUUACUCCUUUUCAGACACUAACUGACCUACACAGCCUCUUCGUGCCUUAGGAAAUUUACCAGGAUACCUUCAUACAGGUAGAUGUGUUGGUGAAUUCCAAUCUCUUAGCUGUUUCUUGAAAAGAAACACAGAAGAAAUCAGUUACGACUGAAAAACUUACAAACUUGAAUUCAUUAAUUGUUUACUUUUCCCUGCCCAGCCAGGUCUAUUUGAAAUAUAGUUUAAAACCAAGGGUACUGAGGCUAUUAGAUACACUUGCUGUAUUUAGUUUGGCUGAAUUCUGAUGGUUUCUUGGAUGCCUUUAAGCUCUUACCACACUAUAACAUAAAAAGUGCCAAGCACAUGGCAAAAAUAAUGACAGUUAUAAAAGAAUUGCUGCCUGAACUGAAAAGAGGAACAUACUUUGAAAUUACUUCCUCUAUAUAUCUAUAUAUAUAGGGAUAUACACACACGCACACACACACAUUUUCACUAUCCCUAUAUAAACACUUAUCUAAAAUACAGAAAUUGAUUUUUUUAUUUCUUCUCUUGGUAUCAUUUUAAAGACUUUACUCCAUGAAUCCACAAUAUGACAACUUCAGGCUGUCCAGAGAGAUAAAUCUUAACACAGUCUUCCAACCUCCACUAACAUAAAUAUAUUGGGAAGGAACUUUGACCAGCAAUAGUAAAUUUUGCAACUUAAAUAAUUAUUCUACCAUUAUUUUAACAACAGAUUGCUACUGAGUACCAAUAUUCAUGAAAAAAGUAAAAAUAAAAAAAAAA